Molecule: ribosomal RNA, 653 nt
Filed under: uncultured bacterium
Lineage: Bacteria
Description: bacterial SSU rRNA
Rfam family: Bacterial small subunit ribosomal RNA
Source: RNAcentral
GAGCGGCGAACGGGUGAGUAAUACAUCGGAACGUGUCCCGUAGUGGGGGAUAGCCCGGCGAAAGCCGGAUUAAUACCGCAUAUGCUUACGGAGGAAAGCGGGGGAUUCGCAAGAACCUCGCGCUAUGGGAGCGGCCGAUGUCCGAUUAGCUUGUUGGUGAGGUAAAGGCUCACCAAGGCGACGAUCGGUAGCUGGUCUGAGAGGAUGAUCAGCCACACUGGGACUGAGACACGGCCCAGACUCCUACGGGAGGCAGCAGUGGGGAAUUUUGGACAAUGGGGGCAACCCUGAUCCAGCCAUGCCGCGUGAGUGAAGAAGGCCUUCGGGUUGUAAAGCUCUUUCGGUGGGAACGAAACGGUUACGGUUAAUACCUGUGACUAAUGACGGUACUCACAGAAGAAGCACCGGCUAACUACGUGCCAGCAGCCGCGGUAAUACGUAGGGUGCGAGCGUUAAUCGGAAUUACUGGGCGUAAAGCGUGCGCAGGCGGUUACUUAAGUCAGGUGUGAAAGCCCUGGGCUUAACCUAGGAAUUGCGCUUGAGACUGGGUAGCUUUGAGUGUGGCAGAGGGAGGUGGAAUUCCACGUGUAGCAGUGAAAUGCGUAGAGAUGUGGAGGAACACCGAUGGCGAAGGCAGCCUCCUGGGCCAGCAC